This is an RNA transcript of Musa acuminata AAA Group (dessert banana), 1905 nucleotides long. It is a transcript of the gene named mitochondrial phosphate carrier protein 3, mitochondrial-like, with no coding region annotated. NCBI's taxonomy places the organism in Eukaryota, Viridiplantae, Streptophyta, Magnoliopsida, Zingiberales, Musaceae. The record is from RefSeq and is a predicted model, not a curated record. The transcript is spliced from 9 exons.
CCUGGUGAGGUCGAGAAAAGCUGUUCUCGGCCCAUGAAGACGAUAGUUUGCUCGCCAGAUGUUCGCUAAAUUGCCUCGGAGAGUAUACUGUGUUCCCAAAAAGAGUCUGCGACGCGCGCAGCAUGAAGUACCCGCUCGCUGCCACGUGCAACUGUACGCGUCGGAUCCUAAUGUGGAUGGCGGGUGCGAGGAGUUUGUGGGGCACGUGAGGCGCGUCGUGCCUCGCCAAUCACGAGGCGGCCGUUCCCGCUCGAUUCCGUGGCGUCAAUUUGGUUACAACUGCUGUCGAAGACUCCCCGAAAAUUCCUACAAUGCCCUUCUUGUCCUUGUCACUCUUCUCAUGUCUCUCCGCCUCUUUCAUUUUCUUGACCCCCGCAUCCUAACAACAGCAGGAAGAUUCCAACGAAUUCGAAUCGCAUUCACCGUCUCCACCCCCCAGCCAUGGCGAUCUUCGAGGAACCUCCCAAUUCGCCCUUCCCCAGCAUCCUCUCCUCUUCUCCCUCCCCCGUUGGGUCGGUGGAGCCCGCCUCCAGCAUGGAAGCCCUGCCGCGCGGGUCCGAUUCUGUGGAGGCCACAAGGGAGACCCGGAAGAUCGAGAUGUAUUCGCCGCUCUACUACGCUGCUUGCACCUUCGGUGGCCUCGCCAGCUGCGGCCUCACUCACAUGGCCAUUACCCCGCUCGACGUUGUCAAGUGCAAUAUGCAAAUUGACCCAGAAAAGUACAAGAGCAUCUCAUCAGGAUUUGGUGUUUUGCUAGAAGAGCAAGGAUUCAGAGGCUUCUUCAAGGGUUGGGUGCCAACCCUGCUUGGUUAUAGUGCUCAGGGUGCAUGCAAGUUUGGAUUUUAUGAGUUGUUUAAGAAGUUCUAUGCAGACCUUACUGGACCCAAGCAUGCAUCAAAAUAUAAGACGCUCAUUUACCUCGCCGGAGCUGCUUCUGCUGAAGUAAUUGCUGAUAUCGCUCUUUGCCCCAUGGAGGCUGUGAAGGUACGGGUGCAAACACAACCACGGUUUGCUAGGGGCUUGACUGAUGGACUUCCCAAGUUUAUCAAAUCAGAAGGUGUUCUAGGGUUAUAUAAGGGACUCCUUCCACUUUGGGGACGUCAGAUUCCUUAUACAAUGAUGAAAUUUGCUUCUUUUGAGACAAUUGUUGAGAUGAUAUACAAGCAUGCCAUUCCCAAGCCAAAGGAGCAGUGUAGCAAAACGCUGCAGCUUGCAGUGAGCUUUGCUGGUGGCUAUGUGGCUGGGGUAUUCUGUGCCGUGAUAUCUCAUCCUGCUGACAACCUGGUCUCUUUUCUCAACAAUGCAAAGGGCGCGACUGUCACUGACGCCGUAAGACAACUUGGUUUAUGGGGCCUUUUCACCCGUGGUCUUCCGCUGCGUAUUGUUAUGAUUGGUACUCUGACUGGAGCACAAUGGGGAAUCUACGAUGCCUUCAAAGUCCUCGUUGGCCUGCAAACAACCGGUGGGCUCAUACCUCCAACCACUUCGAACCAAGAACAUGCAAAACAAAGUUGAUCAUUUUGAAUCACCGACGACUCGUUUUUAGUCCUCAGACUCGGGCAAUUAGUUCAUCAGGAAAUAUUAUAUAUGUUUGGUGGCCACAGCAGCUAAUGCAUAGAAUGAGGAAGCCAAAAAGCAUCACAUGGAGAGGUGGAAUUGGGAAGUCAGCGAAGGCUUCUGAACGAGGGGUGUAUCCAACACGCGUCACAGACCAAUGGGAGAAGGCCCCACAGGUUGGUGUGCAGAUAGAUCCCUCCUCUCUUGCUGAUAGCACGAGGAGGGCAUUCCGUGGCAUGAGGUCUCAGAGAAGAAGAAGAAGAAGAAGAAGAAGAGAGAGAGAGAGAGAGACCAUGAGCUGAAACAACAAUUACCAUGUUCCUCCACCUUCGAGUAAGAUGAGGUAAG